Molecule: non-coding RNA, 80 nt
Filed under: uncultured Agathobacter sp.
Lineage: Bacteria; Bacillati; Bacillota; Clostridia; Lachnospirales; Lachnospiraceae
Description: Cyclic di-GMP-I riboswitch
Rfam family: c-di-GMP-I riboswitch aptamer
About the family: GEMM was predicted in a large-scale screen for bacterial structured RNA regulatory elements.
Source: RNAcentral
UUAUUGGCAAACUUACAGAAAUGUGAGGACGCAAAGCUAGAGUCUAAACCAAAGAGAUGCGUAUGACAGAUCGGCUGCAA